CUGUCUGAGCUCGCUGGUGAAGUACAGGAAGGUGACGGCCACGCACACGGACUGCAGGAGCACGGCGGCCACCAGCACGGCCCCGCAGCUUCUCCUGUAGAGCUCGUACACCUCAGAAGGGUGCCUGUGAGCCAAUAACCUGUGCCAUGAGCUCCUUCCCAGUGCUACCAGUGCUUCUACUCCCUGGUCAUGACAUGAUUACUGCCACAGUACAUGGACAUCAGAAUCAAUGCAUGAGAUUGCCAUGGAGAAGGAUUGGGAGGAUGUUUGGGUCCUUAUUAAAGCUACAUGGACAUAAAUAGCUAUGGAGUCUCUGUUGCAUGCCAAUAUUACCUGACUGGAGAAGGAACAUCAUGAGAAACAGACUGCCGAAAAAUCCUGCUAAUCAGAUAAUCCUUGAACAUGGUGCUGCUCCAGACUUGAAGUCUCCACACCUGCAUGGAUGUAGAGGUCUGUUCUAUGAAUGAAUGCACACUCCUACCUAAACCUGCCCACAGACAUUCAAAUAUAUGUCUGUAUUACAGAUGUAAGUCCUCCCAGUGCACGGUAAUCCUGGCUUGGUGCACUUAGCAAAACUUUGAUUUAUUGGGCUUUAAGUUCUCUGGAUGACAAUCAUCUCCAGAUGGAGUACUGCUGUAGUUGAGCCAAAUAUCUCUUUUGCCUGUAGGACACCUGCUAUUACACUUUCUUAACAUGGAGAAUGUUCAUUUUUCACCCAAAUACUGUUCACUGUUAGGUAAGCAUGUAGCUCUCCAAAAUUCUUGUCAGGUUACUUUGCUGUUUCUGGCAGCCUGGAGCAGAGGUUUGAUGUAUGUUUAAUGUGUAUUUACACUGGCCUGGAGGAUUUGCAGUUCUAGUAAAACAUCUUGUAUUCACCUCAUUCUUUUCUCAGCUUUAUGUCCAUAGAAAGUAUAAUAUCCAACCUGGCUUCCAAAGUUUCUCACCUAAUUUCUGCAUUUUGGUGGGUCUCAGCUGUUACAGCAGAGUGCAAAGGGUCUUGUAAGGGUAGGAGAAAGUGUGCAGGGUGUAAGAGUUGGGUGAUCCUAGACAAGAUAUUUAUCUUCUGAGCAGAAAUGUUCAGGAAGCUUUAGCUGAAGUAAAUACAAAGGCUUUAGGUUGUGUUUGGAUUAAGAUGCUAUUCAUUCACCCAGCAAUACCAAUGCUGACAGGUCUGUGUAGCUGCAGAAGGAUUUGUGCUUUAUCCUGACACAGGCAGCAUCAGCAGAAAGGUCAGCCAGUGGUCACGUCAUGGAGCUGAAUGCUCCCACAGACUGAACCUUUGUGGCCCAAGGAGUGUUUUUAAAGUAUGUGGUAUCUACUUUUGAAAUCCAGUUUUCAAAAGGCAAUAUAUAUAUACAUAUACACACAUACAUAUAUAUAUAUAUAUUUCUGAAGCAUUUCUUCCUUGUCAUGGCAGUUUAACAUUGCUGGACUCAUUUCAGUGCUGUGAGUAUGCAGAGUGGAGGGAACACAGCUCGGGCUGUGCUGCUGGCAGCUGAGGUAAUCUAGUCAUGACUUGCUGUGACUUUCUUGUUAUGAAAUCACUGGUACUGGAUAAACACAGAACAUCUGCCUUCCAUCCCUUCUAACACCUCGUUUUUGGCUGUAAAUAAGUGCUCGCUGUAGCACUGAUCUGAACUGAAGAUUGUAAAUGUGCAGGUGAGUGAAGACACCUCAGAGCUCUGCAGUGAGGCAUCAGGGACAGGAGUGAUCCCUGCAGGAGCCACAGAGGCACAAAUCAUGCUGGAGACUCACCCAGCUAAUGGGAUUACUGGGGAGAAAUGCUGUGCCCUUCAGGAGCUGGCCUUCAGCAAUACAGCGAGGGGUCUAUUGGAGCAAGCACUGAAAUGUCAGGGUGCAACCUUACACUGCAGCAAAGCCAAGGCAAUGGCUCGUGGAUGCUGGGAAGGGACUGUUCUGUCACUCAGCUGCUUGCUCCCACUGCCUCCCAGGAAGGUGUCAGGAAUUCACCUGUCCCUGCCCUGGGCCAGUCCAUAGAGCAGCCCAAGAAAUGCAAACAGCUCCACGUAAACAGGCAAUAAUUUCUUUUGGCAGUUUGCUCCCUGACUGGAGUUUCCCCAAAUGUUUUGUUUUCACAAGUGAUGGGUUUUGGGUUUGAAAUAUGUGUGUCUUUGGGACCUUGCAUUGGAUGUGGGCCUGCCCUCGUUCCAAUUCACAGCAAAUCCCAGGAGAACUGCAGCAGGAAGAGGCUCGUUUCAUGGCUCACAGCCUGGAAAUACUCUUCUCAACAUAGUGUGGCUUUCCAAAACUGGAGGGGAUCAACAGCAUCAGUGCAGUGUUUUGUUAGGUUAGAUGGCCAAAUAAUCUGUGAAGAAGCCAAAUACAGACAUGCUUUCCUUUAUAGUUAGUAAAAAAUGCUUUAAAAAAAUGGUGAAGAGUUGCCAAGAGUUCCUUGAGUUUUAAGUUUAAUGAAUAUUUGCAGUUUAGAAGUUAUUUUCUCUGGCUGGAUUUGUAGAUCAAACAGGAGAAAACCUACCUUGACUUAAAAGUCAAGGAAAAGUAUUUGUAUUUUUACUUAUUUCACCUUUCAGCUCUGAUGGACUUAAAGCUCUGGCAAUGUGUUGGUGUAUUUGUCUAAGCCCAUAAAGAUAAUCUUAGCCCUCAAGGGCUUACAGUCAAAAUAAUUUCUUUGCAGUUCCUUGGGUCCAUAAAAACAGCUGAGUAGCACCGAUGGGAGUAUUGUGAUAGUUCACCUCCACUGUACUUGCAGGGCUGAUGCCUUAAGCUGGGCACAGAUAAUUAAAUCUGUUGCUGCUGUCAGGUUUGUAGGAAUGUCCUUCUGUUUCAAAAGCCUUUUACCAAUUGCACCUGUAAUCACAGAAGAAUCUUUCAGUAAAGUCCCUCAGGCAUGCAGGGAAUGGAGAGGUGCACCCAGCAAGAUGCUCUGUCUGAUCCUACUCCUCCCCAGUCACUCUGCUGACAAAGCUUUCUCACACUUGUGUGAAAUGCUAAUGUGGGAGGGGGAUUCCCUGGCUCCAGUCCCUCCUGACAUUUUCAAUGCAUUUCCCAGGCCUGUUUUUCCAUCCUGAAGUGUAAAAUUAAUUUUGAUGAAAUCUUGAGUGAAUUAAACUGCAACACAGUGAUCUCUUUGCUCAACUCAUAUUUGCUGUCUGCCUUAUUUAUAUUGAGAAGAAGCACUUGGGCAUGCCAAUUGUCCUGUCAUUUAUUUGCCUUGUGCAUCGAGCCUUUGGCUACUAGAAUUAAACUGGAAAAUACAAUUAAAAGCAUUAGCUGUAGCAGACAUACAAAAAAAUAUCAUUACAUGCUUGACAAUGUUCUCCUUCAUAUUGUUAAUCCCUGCAGAUCUACCUCUGCUAUUAGAUUUCAUCCACAGAUUUUAUUUUUCUUGGAAGACUACACUAAUUGGAAUGAGAAUUCCUGGUUGUAUAAGGAAAGAAAAGGAAGAUGUCACCAAGCUGGAAAGCCUCACCUGACUU
Long non-coding RNA from Corvus hawaiiensis (hawaiian crow), 3458 nucleotides. RefSeq lists it as uncharacterized. The transcript is spliced from 4 exons. The record is from RefSeq and is a predicted model, not a curated record. NCBI's taxonomy places the organism in Eukaryota, Metazoa, Chordata, Aves, Passeriformes, Corvidae.